This 1501-nucleotide long non-coding RNA is filed under the name Phasianus colchicus (ring-necked pheasant). RNAcentral describes it as "lncRNA (ENSPCLG00000001523.1)". The record is from RNAcentral. Lineage: Eukaryota; Metazoa; Chordata; Aves; Galliformes; Phasianidae.
GUCUUUCACGUACAGCAUAGUCUUUCUUUUAUGGAGCUACGUUGAAUACAGCUCAUCAGUGAACCCUGCCCAUAACUCGCUGCUGAACGUCUCUCUGCUCAGUGAUAAAGUGAACUUAUUUCUCCAUUUUUCCUUUGAAUCUCAGGCAUUUUCUCAGUAUCCAUGUGUGUUCCAACUAGAACUUCCCAAAACUUCCACAGUUAAACCAGACUGAUGUACAGCUGCUUUGUUCUAAUAAUACUCUAGCUUUCCUGGCUGAGAAACAGUUCCCAAACUAGACGUGAUAGUCUAUGAAGUCUAACAUGGAGCGAUGUACCACCUCUGGGAAGGACAUCUUUCACAGUCCUGCUUCUUUGCAACCUCAUUGGCACCGAAAGGUAGCAUGAAAUGGAGCCAGGAUGACAGGGCCCCAUCUGAGCCAUGCCCAGCUCCCCCAGUCUGCACAAACCCACUCUAUCAAUCACGGUGCAGAUUUGUUCAGCUGCUUUAUGAUUUACCACCAGCACAGCACAGCCUCAGACCCUACCGUGCAGCAUCUUUAAUCCUACAGCAACUCCUCUUCAUGCAUGAUUGUAAGUUUGACAGGGACGUUUUCCUCCACAAACUUGCUGUGAAAGAUCUGCUUCCGGAGGCCACGGAUUUGUGUGUGAGUAAAACUGCAAAAAGAAAAUCUGUUCAGAGAUGUAACUGUAUCUAAAGCAUAUUCCAACUGUUUUUAUCCAAUAGCAGUUGGAUAGGUAACCUAGGAAAGAAAUCUUGGGGAUCAUUUAGGCAUAGGAAAAAAAAGAUAGCUCUUUUGUCACACUCCUGAGGUAGGCGUGCAGAGCUAGAGCCAUUAAAAUUAAAUGAUACCUGAGUGUAUAUGAUUCAGGUGUACAAACAAGUAAAAUUCAGUGGGUUUUUUUUUUGUUUUUUUUUGUUUUUUUUGUUUUUUUUUUUAACACGCUUUAUUUGAGAGUAGUGAAAACAAGGUGGAUUUUAUCACAGCAGAAAACCACAUCAUGGCAUAGUCAGAAUUGAAUUUAGCCCUUCCAGAUCAAGUGUGAUCUUUGGCCAAAUUAUUAUAUUUAACCUCACUGUGAAAAAGAUGUCCUAAAUUAUGAAGACCCUGCUCUGCCCUUGAAUAAGCACAUCAGACAUAGACCUCAGUGGGAGGAGUAUUGGCUGCUUUUAUGGUAAGGAUUCAGUCGUAAGUGACCUCAUACUUUUGCAUGUGGUCUGCCACUUAGGCACAUCAAGGUUGCAAAGGAUACUUCUUUGCUUUAAUUUAUUUUUUUUCAUAUUAUUUAUCAGUGGUGCAGUUUUUGUGGCUUAAUUAAUUCUUUUAUACUGUCUCCUUCCAUCCCAAUCAUAUUUGAGUCUUUCUUCUUGCUAACAUUUUCCAGCAUAUUUUUCAUCUCUGUGUAGAACCACAAUGUUAAUGAACAACAAUUAUCUUUCUUACUUAUGUGAGAACUUUAAUGAAGCUUCAUUAAAAUUAACAUGGCACAAUAUUACUGGC